CCUACGGGAGGCAGCAGUGGGGAAUUUUCCGCAAUGGGCGAAAGCCUGACGGAGCAAUACCGCGUGAGGGAGGAAGGCCUUUGGGUUGUAAACCUCUUUAAUCAGGGAAGAAAAUUUGACGGUACCUGAAAAAAAAAGCAUCGGCUAACUCCGUGCCAGCAGCCGCGGUAAUACGGAGGAUGCAAGCGUUAUCCGGAAUAAUUGGGCGUAAAGGGUCCGCAGGUGGCCAUUCAAUCUGCUGUCAAAGACCGUGGCUCAACCACGGGAAGGCAGUGGAAACUGUUUAGCUAGUAGAGUACGGUAGGGGUAGAGGGAAUUCCCAGUGUAGCGGUGAAAUGCGUAGAUAUUGGGAAGAACACCGGUGGCGAAAGCGCUCUACUGGGCCGAAACUGACACUGAGGGACGAAAGCUAGGGGAGCGAAAGGGAUUAGAUACCCCUGUAGUCCUAGCUGUAAACGAUGGAUACUAGGUGUAGCUUGUAUCGACCCGAGCUGUACCGAAGCUAACGCGUUAAGUAUCCCGCCUGGGGAGUACGCACGCAAGUGUGAAACUCAAAUGAAUUGACGG
Molecule: ribosomal RNA, 567 nt
Filed under: uncultured bacterium
Lineage: Bacteria
Description: bacterial SSU rRNA
Rfam family: Bacterial small subunit ribosomal RNA
Source: RNAcentral